Gasterosteus aculeatus aculeatus (three-spined stickleback) is the source of this 5602-nucleotide long non-coding RNA. Lineage: Eukaryota; Metazoa; Chordata; Actinopteri; Perciformes; Gasterosteidae. The record is from Ensembl.
CACAAAUAAAUGAAACGGCUCUGAAGGGAAAAGAUGAGUCGUUAAUUGUCUGGUCAUCAGAGUGAGGUGUUGCGGGAUGUUCCAGAAUCCUUUAAUCAUUCGGUAUUGUUAGUAUGUGUGUGUGUGUUUAUGAGUCUGCCGUGCUCCAUGUAAUCUUCCCGCCCCGCCUCGUGCACGCGCACGUCACGCCGGUCAUGUGAUGACAAUGCGUGGAGCGCGUGCACUCGCACACGUCCCCGUUUCAUCAUCAGCUGAGCCCUUUUUCCUCCACUCACAACUCUUCUCCACUCCCUCUCUCGCCCCCUCCCCUCUCGGCUCUAGCUUCUUUUUCUAUCCAUAGCUCUCCUCCUCUCUCCCUGGGUCCCGGCCGGGUAGACUAGGACGAGAGGGGAAAAAACGCUCUGCUGCUAUUUCUACAGCCAGGCCCUCCCCUUUGGCUGUAGCCUGUGCCAAAAGAGGGAGGGAUUUUUUACUACUCCCAGUCCCAGGAUUUUAACCCCAUGCCUGCACUCGCUGCCCUCUGCAAGAUCUGCUACUCAAUAUCCUGCAACAAGUGGCUUCGCUUUGCUCCUACUUCGACAACGCCGCGCCAUUUGCAGAGACGUUUUUCCGGGACCCCCGUUUUCUUCCCCCCCGUCCCCCACCCACCCCCAUACAUUCAGACGUUUUUUUGCUGCUUCUGGACUGCUGUCGGUAGAGUUAAACUGGCCUGGGGGAUUUCAGUGUUUUUUUGGGGGGGGCUUGGGCUCCACCGGGAUGCAGAGGCUUUCUGGAGCACGUGCUCAGCGAUUGCUCGCCAUGCUUCCUUGUCUCGUGAGUCCUCCCUAGAGCUGAGGACGAAGACAAUUUGUGUCCCCGACGGCCACUCCGCCUGCUGCUCGAUUCAGUAGAGGAGAUGUGGACGGACCGUGUGCUGCUGCAGAGGGACCCGGCGCGAUGAUCAACGGCGAAUUUCGGUGCUUUACCCAGGAUAGCUGAUCACCCCACCAUAUGUCUGCCAGUUGUCUCCAAAAUCUCAGUGGUAAGUCCUCGAGUGUGUGUUUGUGUGCGUGUGUGUGUAGGACGUUUUCAGCGGUUUUAUAUCGGCAAAGCGAUGACACACAAAGACGAUAUUGAAACGGCAAAGCACAAAUUCGGUUGUCCCGAUCACAGAGUUUGGAAUCAGGGUGUCCGAUCCUUCAGGCUUAACUAAAUAUAGUGAGACUAGAGGGGUAACGCAGCAUCUCAGACAAAUCCAAGCUAUUCUCCCCUCUAAGGGUAUUCCUACCUGCAGUUUUGCAAUCCAGGUUGUGUGUGUGUGUGUGUGUGUGUGUGUGUGUGUGUGUGUGUGUGUGUGUGUGUGUGUGUGUGUGUGUGUGUGUGUGUGUGUGUGUGUGUGUGUGUGUGUGAGAAAGAGAGACGGUUUUGGAGGGAGCAGAGAUCAGGGCUGCAACUUUGGGCCGAGGGAAAGACAAGGCCUGCCACAGAAGGCCGAGCCCCGCAGUAUCGUUCUCUCUCUCCCACUCUCUCUCACCCUUUCUCUCUCCUAGUCAGCUAUCAGAAAAAUAUUAACAGUAAUUAUUGUAUUGAGCUUUCUUGUGAAAAAAAACUCAUCUUUGUGAAUAUGGCGAGCUUUUGGUCGUCAAAGAUUACAUUUUUUGCUGACACGUGGCCACACAUAGCUCUGAUAUAGCUCAAACAAGCCCUUUUGGAAAUACCUGUUAUAACCAAUGUUUUAUGCAAUGUGAAGAAUAACAUAUAAACACUAUUUAGGUUUAUGUAACUGAACCGAAACAGAGCAGUAUGCUGUAUAAGAAACCUCGAUAAGUUUAAGUGUCAUGAAUUUAAGAUCACUUCUACUUAAUCUCGUAGGAAGAAUACCAGCUCAAUUUUUAUCUGUAUUAUGUUUUGCACAUAAUUAAAACCCUCAAUGUGCUACACCCAUCACCGAUACCUUGCAGCAUGGCAUGUUUUAAUCAUCCUCCAUCAAUCACUUUUUUUCAAACCAUCGCUAAUUAAAAAUUCUCAACUCUCCGAACCCUUUGUCGACUCGGCUUCAUGUUGAGCACCUCGGCACAUCGGCGUCUCCCAUGAUCAACCACCAAUAGGUAGGAGUGGAGUGAGUCAUCCCAGAUAGCUCGAGUCCCCCCCCACCUACAUCCCACGUCUGACACGCUGCGAGGUCCACUUUGCUCGCUGGAUUUGGUUGGUCCUAUCUCGGCCCGGUGAAGGUACGAGUUAGCACCUCGACGGAUGUAGAAUCGACAUCUCAUUGUUAAUGUGCUCACGGCGCAAAGGAAGGCUGCCGUAGAUUUUAUACUUUAUCUCUUCUUUUCUAUCUUUAUCUUUUCUACCUCAUUGCAUUGAACCCACUCACACGCAGUGUGGAUAAAUAAAAAUUAAAUCAUUUUUGCCCUCAAGCGCCCGACAGGGAAACGUGGAUGAAGACGCUUAAAUACCGGUUUCGUAAUUUGGAGCCUGUUGAUCAGCCCCAUCUACUUUUGGAAAAAUGUUGAUCCUCUGACACGGAAAUGUUUCAAAGUGUCCCGUGCAUACUUGCACUGUAUGAUCUGUCAGGUCUGUUUCUGAAUUACUAGAGAGUCAUGGAGUUAAUGCCGCAAGAUGUUGGCAGACUAUUUCCCCCGAGAAGACGAAAAAUAAAAUAAAAUGUUGUUUGACCUUGGAAUUAAUUUAAAUAUAUAUAUAUUUUCACCUAAAAACUAAGUUUUGCUUAAUGAUAAAUCAAUGUAUUUUUUUAUGAUGCCUAAAUUGUGAUUUUUUUUCUCAAUAGGUAAUUUGGUGUUAAUUCAUUUGAUUUGUUACAGCAUGUUUGAACACCAAUAACUGACGGGAAUUCAGUCUAACAUAAAGACCAUGAUACCACAUCUUGAAUCAGACACACAGGACGCACACACAGACACACACACGCACAAGCAAACACCCAGACACAUUUGAUGCUAUGUACCCCACAAUGAACCCUGGCUCUUAAGAUGAAUGGGGUUCCCACGCCUCUCCCAAGGAGUGCAGGGCACAGCCUCCUCCUCUGCGCAUUUUCACACACACACCCACACACACACACACACACACACAAUGCACAAACUACAGAUGGCCACACAGUCUCCCCCAAUCACACAUAGGUGCAUUAGAGUAUAAUAAACACACACAAAGGCGCACACACACACAAAUAUAGAUUAUUAUUCUGAGCACUCCCAAUCCUGAUGAGGGUUAAAGAGGAAAGGAGACACAGCUCUAACUUAAUUGCUCGCGGUUCAAAAAGUUGGCAUUAAAAUCAGCUUUUGAUUUGUUAAGCAUUACGGAGGAAGUUAGCGUUUGUUUAGCAGGGAGAAUUCAAAAGAAGCAGAAACAAAAGUUUGUGGGAAAAUCCAAAUCUCCAUAUCUAAGGGUUGAGCAAUACAAAGUCCUUCUGUGCAAAUGUUUUGUUUUUAACAAAUACACACACAUAUAUAUACACACACUGAUACAUGUGUCCAUACAUACAUACAUUUAUAUAUAUAAAUAUGUAUGAUAUUUCUCAAUUUAAAUCUUUAGAUUAAAAUAGGGAUUUUUUCAAAUCUAUUUUUGUAUAAUUUAAUUUUUUUUAAACUAGACUGGUUUUUUUUGUUACAAUAUAUACACUAUAUUGUUAUUUCUAUAUAUUUUCUAUAGAUUGUCAAUUAUGCUUUAUGAUUGAUAAAAUACCUUUUCUCAAAGAACUUGUGUGAGGGGAGACUUGUAACAUGAACUAUAUAUUUUGUACAUUUGUACAAGUACUAUUUGCAUAGUAUUUAAAAUUUUCAAAGAAAUGUGGAUUUUAUAGUAGCUUGAUUUGAUUGAUUCUUCUAUUAUUUCCUCGUAUAUUUUAAACAUGUUUAAGACUUUUAAAAUUCCAGCAUUUUAUUUUUUAGAAGCUAAUUAAAUAAAAUCUAGACAGAUGUAAUAAAUAAAAUAAAGCAAUGUGAUUCCCACUGGUCAUUUUCCAAAGCCAAUACUUAUGUAUAUGUAUUAGUGGCUAGUGUAUCGUAAUAUAUUUAUGCAGACUAAAUACGGUUGCAGUAUUCUGAGCCAUGAUAACAUAAUGAAACAGUUACGUAGCUGCUUGGCAGGUUCAUGACCUGAGGACUACACGGACACCUUGGUCCGUUGUGUGAAUGCAUCCUCAUUGUAUUUCGUGUGUGUGUGUGUGUGUGUGUGUGUGUGUGUAACUAUUUUUACGUGUCUGUUUUUUUCUUUUAUUUGCAGGCGCAGUAUUUAGGAACUCAACUCCUGGGCCCUCCUCAUUGUCAAGGCCGAGGAAACCCGAGAGGAGGAGAGCUGACAAACUAAUGAGACAAGCUGACGUAAGGCGUAAGCGCAGGAAGUAUUCUGACAGCAUUCUUUGAUGUGCCACAAUUAAGACAUGAAGACAAAAUACACUGCUGCAGUUUAAUCAGUCCAUAUGUUCAGGUUCUCGGGGUCACGUCACGUUUUGACAAAAUUGAUGAAAGCUAUAACUGAAUUAGAGUACUAGGAAUAAGGAAACUUUCUUUUUUAUUUCUUAGUUCUAAAGUUAUUGAAACUUCUGAGACCAUGUUUAAAGUGAAUAAAAAUCAACCCACAAAAUAUACAAUACAAUAACACACGAGAAAUAAUGUGAGUCACACUUUUCAGCCAUCAAAAUAGAGAAGCUAUUUUCAUUCGAUUAACUUGUAUGAGAAGGGCCUUCGGUCUUCUGAGUUUGUUCUCCCAGAUCGACCAUCAGCCGCGGGAUACGAGAGACAACUGUGGCAGAUCAACGGCCCUUUGGGGUGAGGUAGUAGGUUGUAUAGUUUUAGGGUCAUUCCCAAGCUGUCAGAUGACUAUACAACUUACUGUCUUUCCUGAAGCGGCAGUAAUGGCGGCGCCUUCAUCGGCACAAAGGAUCUUUGAUUAGCUGACAAUCUUCUGAGUAUAUCUUUUAUCUCCAAUGUUAUCAAAACUAACCUUGCUGUAUUUACACAAUAGGUGCACACAGAGACAAGAUGAGUACACUUCAUGGUGCUCGUACAGGGUGAGGUAGUAGGUUGUGUGGUUUCAGGGUUGUUAUUUUACCCCAUCGGGAGUUAACUAUACAACCUACUGCCUUUCCUGGAGGGCAACAAUACAUCACAGGAGCAUUCAUGUCACCUUUCUACUCAGGAAGAAACUCAUCUGGCAUUUGAUUUCAAAUGGGUGAGUGUUGCUAAAUCACAUUAAGCAUUUCAUAGCAACCGUCAAUGCUUAACACAUUCUUUACUAAUGUGGAUACCAUGUCAUUUUACAUGGUAUCCACAUUAGUAAAAAAUGUGGCUUUGAAAAUAUCAUUUUCAGAAUCAUGAAUGUUUUAAUUUUGUACUGUUACAUCAAUUCAUAAAUAAAGUCUGGUUCAGAAAUAAUAUGAGAACAAACAAUGACUGGAGGGUUUUCAUGAGGCUUUAACGUGUGGAUGUUCUGUAUCUAUGUGGUGAAGAUUCACAAUUCAAAGUACACAUAAAAUAUGUUCAUCAUUAUGUAACAUAAAGUUUACUCGAGGCUUUCACAAUUUUACAUUGCAUCCCGUACUCCCUCUCCGGGGCAUAUAUCUGGUUCGCACUUUGUAUUUCACUUAAUUAUGCUUCACAGUGUGGAA